Molecule: small nucleolar RNA, 75 nt
Organism: Podarcis muralis (Common wall lizard)
Lineage: Eukaryota; Metazoa; Chordata; Lepidosauria; Squamata; Lacertidae
Gene: SNORD26
Rfam family: Small nucleolar RNA SNORD26
About the family: U26 is a member of the C/D class of snoRNA which contain the C (UGAUGA) and D (CUGA) box motifs. U26 is encoded within the U22 snoRNA host gene (UHG) in mammals and is thought to act as a 2'-O-ribose methylation guide for ribosomal RNA.
Source: Ensembl
CUACAGAGAUGAAAUCCACGAACUCUCUCUUUCUGAGGCUUCAGUGGAGAAAACCUUUACCAGAUUCUGAGUGGC